This 67-nucleotide microRNA precursor is filed under the name Bombyx mori (domestic silkworm). RNAcentral's name for it is "mir-2774 microRNA precursor family". It matches the Rfam family "mir-2774 microRNA precursor family". The record is from Rfam by way of RNAcentral. Lineage: Eukaryota; Metazoa; Arthropoda; Insecta; Lepidoptera; Bombycidae.
AUAACAUUCGGACCGCUAGUUUAUAGAGCAAUAUCACCUGCUCGGUGGAAGAUUAUCCUUUUGUCGU